Molecule: ribosomal RNA, 270 nt
Filed under: uncultured eukaryote
Lineage: Eukaryota
Description: partial small subunit ribosomal RNA
Rfam family: Eukaryotic small subunit ribosomal RNA
Source: RNAcentral
AGGGCACCACCAGGAGUGGAGCCUGCGGCUUAAUUUGACUCAACACGGGGAAACUCACCAGGUCCAGACACAAUAAGGAUUGACAGAUUGAGAGCUCUUUCUUGAUUUUGUGGGUGGUGGUGCAUGGCCGUUCUUAGUUGGUGGAGUGAUUUGUCUGCUUAAUUGCGAUAACGAACGAGACCUUAACCUACUAAAUAGUGAUGCUAGCAUUUGCUGGUUUUUCACUUCUUAGAGGGACUAUCGAUUUCAAGUCGAUGGAAGUUUGAGGCA